Non-coding RNA from Canis lupus familiaris (dog), 106 nucleotides. Lineage: Eukaryota; Metazoa; Chordata; Mammalia; Carnivora; Canidae. The record is from Rfam.
AGGAGGAACAACUGCAGUGGCAGCGGCCAGCUCUGGAGUCCUGGAGUCAGCUCCUGCAGUGACUACAGAGCUCUCCAUCUGCAAGGCCUGGAUGCUCCGGGGUGGG